Molecule: RNA transcript, 4899 nt
Organism: Mytilus trossulus (common blue mussel)
Lineage: Eukaryota; Metazoa; Mollusca; Bivalvia; Mytilida; Mytilidae
Gene name: repressor of RNA polymerase III transcription MAF1 homolog
Exons: 7
Source: RefSeq, a predicted model, not a curated record
AGGCUUCUGGGAUAUGUUUAUAUGAGGUCAAGGUUAUUUUAAGAAGAGGACAGAAGAAAAUAAAUACGGAAAUAAUAAUAAUAGAGGGAAAUUUCAUAAUUUGUUGAAACAUAAGUCACUGAUACCAACAUCUCUACCCUUUAUCUACCGAGUGUAGUGGAAAAUCUUUCUAGAUUUACCGAUUGAGAUCAAUUAUAACUCUAUUUUCAUUGUUAUUUUCAUAUCAAUUUUCAGAUGAAAAUGUUUGAUUAUCAUUUUGUUGUUGAUAUGUGUGACAAUUUUGCUUAUUACAAUCAGACUGUAGAAACAACGAAAAGAAAAAACAGUAACAUUUCUCCUAGUAGUAAUCAACAAUCCUUAAAUUGUCCUUGUGGAUCGCUUAGUAUACAGAACUAAUUAUCUAAUUAAAGUUAAUUGCAUUAAGUGGACAGGUGACAUUUGUCAAUCAACAGUCACACUUAAUUAACCACAGUUCAUUUGAUUGAAACUUGAAAGAAGUGGUGAAUUGAUAUAUAUAAUUUAAAGGCUAUCACAUUAGCUAAGAAAGAAGUCCAUCAUGAAGCUGCUCGAAAAUUCACGAUUUGAACAAAUAAAUUCAGCUCUAUCACAAGAGCUUGGAAGCUAUAAAUUGGAGGGCAGAAUUGAGAGUUAUUCCUGUAAGAUGGCUGGAAAUGACAAGCGAUUGUAUAAAUUGAUCAGUGCAGAAGGUGGAGUAGGUCCAGAAGAUCUCCAGGCUUUAUCACCACCUCAAACUGUCCUCUCAGUAUCACCUUCAAAACAAUACAGUAAGAGUACUGGAAGUGACGGAGAGAGUUACUUAUGUGAUACGAUAUCAACAAAGACAUUAUUCUAUCUGAUCUCAACUCUGAAUGCUUCAUUUAACCCUGAUUACGACUUCAGUAACGCAAAGAGUGAAGAGUUCAGUAAAGAACCAAGUCUAGAGUGGGUAGCUCACAACAUUGACACACAGUUGUAUGCCACUCUUGGUGAAGCUUAUGGAGCCUUGAAACAAAAUCUGUGGACAGCAUUUGAUGAAGAAUGUUCUCUUCAGGACUGUGAAAUUUACAGUUACAAUCCAGAUUUAGCAUCAGAUCCCUAUGGAGAAGCGGGGUGUAUUUGGUCCUUCAAUUAUUUCUUCUAUAACAAGAAAUUAAAGCGUCUGGUGUUCUUUACCUGUCGUUCAUCAAGUUCCUCUUACACAGACUCUGGAAUAGUACAGGAUAGCAGUAUGUUUGAUAUGACAGAUGAUAUGGACUCUUUUCAGGAGUGAUUUGGGGGCACAUCUUCCCUAUAUACACAUGUAGAAUGGGGUGGUGUGGGACUAUACAUGAGUCUGAGUUGAAUAUGGACUAAGACUUAACAUACAGAAAAGACGCAUAAACCAAGCCACUGUAUCUAGUUGAUGCAUGAUCAGAGGAGGCAUACUACCUCUUAUAUCAUGAAUAUUCAUCGAUUGUUAAUUUACAUAGAUGUUUUAAUAUUUCUAUUUUUACAUCUAGUGCUUAUUAUUAAUAUUAUAGAAGUUUUGUUGUAUUUUAAUUAUUUUAUUCCUUUUUCCAGUUAUUUGUAUUUUGUUUUGUUUAAUGUCAGUAGUCUAAAGAAGACAGAUACACCAAGUAACAAAAGCAAUAAAAUGUAAAUUAUUGCGAAUUUGACAUAACUAACUGAAAUUAAUAACUGUAUACAGAUAUGUAUGCAACUGGUUCACUUUUCACAAAAAAGUUAUGACAAAAAAUGAUCGUAGAUUAAACUAAAAUUUUCAUGACUGAUAGGUAAUUUUUCACCUUAGAUUUUUUGUAAAAUAUGUUGCAGAUAUAAAAAAAAAUGUGAGUUCUUAAUACUGCAAUACUCACUAAGUAGCAUUAUUCUCAUUUAUAAAAACUCAUAAUAUUUCUGAAUUUAGUUUAUCUGAUUUUUUUCUAACUUUAUAAGAAUAAUUAAGUUUUGGGAAAUGAUAAAAUGUAUAAUUCAUGACAAUUAUCAAAUGAAUGAAAUACAAUUCAGUAUCAACACAACACUAAAUGCAUAAUGCAGAAAUGGACACAAAGGGAGUUAAUAGAUCUAAAUUAUCUCCCCUUUACUGGAUUAUUAAAAAAAGUAAGUUUUGUCUUAAAUAAGUGAGGGAAAUUAAAACCAAUGUUGACAUACAUAUACUAGCACACAUGUAAAUAGAUUUAUUAUAUCACAUUUAUAAUGUGACUCUAGAUACUGGUGUUAAUAUUUUUUCGAUAUAGAAUUGAUAGAUAUAGAGUACUUUAUUUUUCACAGUCGUACUUUAUCAACCCUAGUUGAAGUGUUACCUAUUCAGCAUUUCUCUUAAAAUCAGCAGUUAAUCAAUUUAACUGUGCAUACAUACUUUAAAAUCACAAUCAUUUACAAUAGUUUUAACAGGAAUGAUUUUAAAAUGUUAUGUAAAAAAAUGUACAUUGUAGAGAAUUUUAUGUUACAAUCUUUGAAAUAUAUUUCAUAAAUAUUUCAAAGAAAACAUUUUUUUUUGUGUAAAUCAGUUUUCUAAAUGAUAGAAAUGUUUUUUGUUUUAUAAGUAUUGAUGUACAUUACAUAUUGUUUUAAUGCUAUUGCAUCAAAAAUAUUUGUGAUAUAUAUUGUCAUACAAAUUACGUGAAAUAGUCAACACUGAGUUUGUGGGUUUUAACCCUGACUCAUGACAGAUGGUGAGAUGCAUUGACUCCUCAAUCUUUAUUGACUUGAAUUUGAAGUUUACAUUAGAAGACAUUGUUGCCCAUUGAGGUUUAACAUACUCUAUGUUUAGUACCUGAAGAUAAUUGCAGAUGUUUUAACUACAUAUGAGGAAUGGCCAGAACAUGUGUCUGGUCAGAUAUAAGAAGUGUGGAGGCUAUGGUUCUAUUUCUGUUUGAAGAAUGUGAAGGCCAUGUGCCUUUAAAGAUCCUAGCGUGCCAUUUUAGUUGUGAACUUAUUUUGAGCACGUGUUUUAGUAUCUGAAGAUGGAUGUAGAUUUUUUGAAAGAUUUUAACAAGAUAUAUUCAAUUUGUUUAUUCUUCUUGAAAAACUAUGUGAAGCAGUGUCAAGUUAGAAAACACACAACAUUGGGAUGUAUUGCACUUGUGCAUAAUUGAUGGCAAUUUGAAUUUCAUUCAUAAUAGUAAGAGUUUACAUUGAAUUGAAAGUUUAAUAGUUUACUAUACAGAGAGUAGUAAAACAAAACAAGGAUUCUGUUUUUGUAAAACUGUAGGUAAAUACAUCUAUUAUUAUUUGAUAUAUUUUUUUGUUUUUAAAUUACCUAUACUGUAUAUAUUGAGUUGCUUUGUUUAGCCUUAUACUAAGAUGGUAUGGCAUUUGAAGGAAAUAUGUUUAUAUCUUCUUCUUUUUUUUGCAAUCAUUCAUUUUAAACAGCCUUCAUGGAUAUCUACAUUAAUUCCAUCAUUAGAGGAGGUUCAAAAGGGAGGCUUUAUUGAGUUGCUUUGAUUAGCCUUAUACCCAGAUGGUAUGGCAUGUAAAAGAUACAUUUUGACAAGACUGCCUUUUGAACCCCUUCAUUGAAUUUUAUGCUUAUUCCAUCAACAGAUGGGGUUCAAAAAGAAGACUUUUAUAAUCUUACUAUUUUAAUUGUUUGUAUUAUCUUGCAUUAUUCUUUUUUAAUAUUUUUUUUGUCUAUUGUCUUGCAUUGAAUUUUAUCUACUUAUGGUCAUGAAUUUUAGGUUUUUAGACUUUCUGCACAAUUUGUUCGAAGCAUCUUGUAAAAUGAAUCUUUUUUUUUUAAUAUUAGAAGUAAUUUAUCAUAAGAAUGAAAAUCUGGCGGAGUUGACAGCAUAUUCCUAUGUUCUGAAACUAUGAUGUCUAAUGGAGCAUUAUUUUUCUGGUCUGUACACUCUUGCAGCAAAGUUUAACAACUUAAAUUAAAAAUUUCAAGCAAGGUCAGUUGUUCUUAAGAAAUAACCAACAAGAUAAAGUUUACAUUUUCAUCUUUACAUAAAACCUUUACAACUUUACAUUUGAACUGUGUUUUAAAAACUUUGAAAUUUUGUCUAUUCAUUAUCAUUGGAAAAAAUAAGUCCUAAGUUCUCAGUACUGAUGCUACUUAAGUUUCCUAUUCAUUUGUAAGAUAUGAUAAUCACAUUCUAAUGCAACAUUGUUUAUCAGUUUCAUUUUGAUUUGAUUUGAUAACUUCACCAAUUUUCAUAGCUUCAAUUCACAAUUGAUACUUUGAUAAACUUACAUGUAAGUGCAGACGACUUAUGACAGAUUUCAAAUGUAUGAUUUAACAUUGUUUUCUGUUAGUUUCAUUAGAAUGGAGAGGACAACAAAGUAUUUUAAGUGCAGACUGCAUCAAUUGGUUAUUUGACAGUCGCAAAUACCUGUUUAAUGGCUCUGUUAACUUGUCACCAGUAAACUUAAUUUGUGACCAUCAUUAUUGGAAAUUUUGUCUGUUCAUUAUUAUUGGAAAAUCACCAAUUGAUGCCUUUUGGUUCUUAAAAUACAAAAUCGUUAUCUCCUAAUUUUCAGGACAUUUAUAACGAUUUUUUUAAACUUCUGUAUACUGGAAUGUUACUAUUGUAUUGGGAAAGGCUUGUAAAGACCAUAUUGAUUCUUCAUGAGGACAGCUUCAUUCUGUAAUGCCAGGCAGAUAACUAUGUUCACAAACAUUCUCUAACCUGCUCAGAUCAUCAUAAGUUAAAGAAGACUGUUCAUGGCCUUAAAAGAAUUUUCCAUUGCUGCAUUGUAAAUAAUUGUAUUUGUUUUAUAUUGUACAUAAUUUUAGAUGUUAUAACAGUAUGUUAAGUCCUGUAUAUGAGAUUUUUAGUUUAGUAAUAUGUAAUUUUACUUAUCUUCACAAAAAAAAAUCCAUUCAUGUUGUUGAUUUUACAGUUUUCUAGAUACACUGUUUUAUGUAUAAUAAAUUGUUUUAUUUUGACUUACAAA